GCAAGUCGAGCGAAUCUUUUGGGAGCUUGCUCCCGAAAGAUUAGCGGCGGACGGGUGAGUAACACGUGGGCAACCUGCCUAUAAGACUGGGAUAACUUCGGGAAACCGGAGCUAAUACCGGAUACGUUCUUUUCUCGCAUGAGAGAAGAUGGAAAGACGGUUUCGGCUGUCACUUAUAGAUGGGCCCGCGGCGCAAUAGCUAGUUGGUGGGGUAAUGGCUCACCAAGGCGACGAUGCGUAGCCGACCUGAGAGGGUGAUCGGCCACACUGGGACUGAGACACGGCCCAGACUCCUACGGGAGGCAGCAGUAGGGAAUCUUCCGCAAUGGACGAAAGUCUGACGGAGCAACGCCGCGUGAACCAAGAAGGCCUUCGGGUCGUAAAGUUCUGUUGUUAGGGAAGAACAAGUACCAGAGUAACUGCUGGUACCUUGACGGUACCUAACCAGAAAGCCACGGCUAACUACGUGCCAGCAGCCGCGGUAAUACGUAGGUGGCAAGCGUUGUCCGGAAUUAUUGGGCGUAAAGCGCGCGCAAGGUGGUUCUUUUAAGUCUGAUGUGAAAGCCCACGGCUCAACCGUGGAGGGUCAUUGGAAACUGGGGAACUUGAGUGCAGAAGAAGAAAGUGGAAUUCCAAGUGUAGCGGUGAAAUGCGUAGAGAUUUGGAGGAACACCAGUGGCGAAAGCGACUUUCUGGUCUGUAACUGACACUG
This 712-nucleotide ribosomal RNA is filed under the name Peribacillus butanolivorans. RNAcentral describes it as "bacterial SSU rRNA". It matches the Rfam family "Bacterial small subunit ribosomal RNA", at positions 57 to 748 of the family's 1533-position model. The record is from RNAcentral. Lineage: Bacteria; Bacillati; Bacillota; Bacilli; Caryophanales; Bacillaceae.